GAUGAACGCUGGCGGCGUGCCUGAGAUAUGCAAGUCGAAUGUCUUUCUUGCCGCAAGGCAGGAAGGUAAUGGCGGACGGCUGAGUAACACGUGGGAACCUGCCCCUUUCUGGAGUAUAGCUCAUCGAAAGAUGGGGUAACACUCCAUGAUCCCCUGAUUUUAUCGGGGGUAAAAAGCGUAACUUCUUGGAAAGGGAUGGACCUGCGUUCUAUCAGGUAGUUGGUAGGGUAACGGCCUACCAAGCCUAUGACGGAUAGCUGGCCUGAGAGGGUGGUCAGCCAGAGGGGCACUGAGACACGGGCCCCACUCCUACGGGAGGCAGCAAUCAGGAAUAGUCGGCAAUGGGCGAAAGCCUGACCGCGCGACGCCGCGUGCGGGAUGAAAUUCGUAAUGAAUGUAAACCGCUGUGGUUGGAGAAGAACGGCCAGCUUAGCUGGCUUUGACGGUAUCCAACUAGAAAGGGGCCGCUAACUGCGUGCCAGAAGCGUCGGUAAUACGUGGGCCCCAAGCGUUAUCCGGUUUUACUGGGCGUAAAAGGUCGUGUAGGCGGUCUGAUAAGUCUUAUCUUAAAGACUGUGGCCUAACCACAGGUAUGGAUGAGAUACUAUCAGACUGGAGUUUUCUCAAGGGAGACUGGAACUUAGGGAGGAGUAGUGAAAUGCGUUGAUACCCUAGGGAACACCAGUGGCGAAGGCGAGUCUCUGGGAGAAGACUGACGCUGAGACACGAAAGCUAGGGGAGCGAAGCAGAUUAGAGACCUGCGUAGUCCUAGCCCUAAACGAAUGCCUGCUAGCUGCAUCUUCGAUUUUAUCGGAGGUGUGGCGAAGGUAACCCGUUAAGCAGGCCGCCUGGGGAGUACGGCCGCAAGGUUG
This 872-nucleotide ribosomal RNA is filed under the name uncultured bacterium. Its description in RNAcentral is "bacterial SSU rRNA". It matches the Rfam family "Bacterial small subunit ribosomal RNA", at positions 28 to 896 of the family's 1533-position model. The record is from RNAcentral.